RNAcentral lists this long non-coding RNA (346 nucleotides) under Malus domestica (apple). Its description in RNAcentral is "long non-coding RNA (MDOM_LNC004050)". Lineage: Eukaryota; Viridiplantae; Streptophyta; Magnoliopsida; Rosales; Rosaceae. The record is from RNAcentral.
AUGAAACUCCGAUUCUUUCGAAACCAAAAUCUUAACGUUGAUUUAAGAUUGCUUUUGCAGAAAGCACUUCUAACCAUAACCAUUUUUGCUAAAAGUGAUUUUAGUAUUAACUAAUAGAAAUUUUUCAUGAAAACAUGCUUAUCCAAGAUGUGCGUUUAAAAUUUUCUACUGAAUGUAGUUAAAAGCACUUAUGGUUGUCAAAAAUCACUUUUAGCCCCUAUAGGACCAAUCUCAAACAGGGCAUUAGUGUUUGCAAUAGAUCGGAUCCUAUAAUAGUAGGCCUGGCAAACGGGUCGUGUCAGUCGUGUUCGUGUCGUUUUCGUGUAACACCUGUUAUCUUAACGGG